RNAcentral lists this non-coding RNA (45 nucleotides) under Schistosoma haematobium. Lineage: Eukaryota; Metazoa; Platyhelminthes; Trematoda; Strigeidida; Schistosomatidae. The record is from RNAcentral.
AUCCGUCUGAUGCGUCCUAAAUAGGACGAAACGCGCGUCUUGGAU